Molecule: ribosomal RNA, 315 nt
Filed under: uncultured eukaryote
Lineage: Eukaryota
Description: partial 18S ribosomal RNA
Rfam family: Eukaryotic small subunit ribosomal RNA
Source: RNAcentral
CCCUUAGACGUUCUGGGCCGCACGCGCGCUACACUGACCAGUGCAACAAGCAUCCGUCCUUGGCCGACAGGCCCGGGCAAUCUUUGAACGCUGGUCGUGAUGGGGAUAGACUUUUGCAAUUUUUGGUCUUCAACGAGGAAUUCCUAGUAAACGCAAGUCAUCAACUUGCAUUGAUUACGUCCCUGCCCUUUGUACACACCGCCCGUCGCACCUACCGAUUGAAUGGUCCGGUGAAGCCUCCGGAUUGGCGCGCACCUCGGUGCCGCCGAGAAGUUGGCUAAACCUUACCAUUUAGAGGAAGGUAAAGUCGUAACA